GCCGUGGUGGCGGAACUGGCAGACGCAGCAGACUCAAAAUCUGCCGAUGGCAACAUCGUGGGGGUUCGAUUCCCUUCCACGGCACCA
RNAcentral lists this transfer RNA (87 nucleotides) under Andreesenella acetica. RNAcentral's name for it is "Clostridium aceticum tRNA-Leu". It matches the Rfam family "tRNA". Rfam says of the family: Transfer RNA (tRNA) molecules are approximately 80 nucleotides in length. Lineage: Bacteria; Bacillati; Bacillota; Clostridia; Peptostreptococcales; Natronincolaceae. The record is from RNAcentral. RNAcentral also lists the same sequence under 7 other names.